Molecule: ribosomal RNA, 497 nt
Filed under: uncultured bacterium
Lineage: Bacteria
Description: partial 16S ribosomal RNA
Rfam family: Bacterial small subunit ribosomal RNA
Source: RNAcentral
GAUGAACGCUGGCGGUGUGCCUAAUACAUGCAAGUCGAGCGAACAGACGAGGAGCUUACUCCUCUGACGUUAGCGGCGGACGGGUGAGUAACACGUGGAUAACCUACCUAUAAGACUGGGAUAACUUCGGGAAACCGGAGCUAAUACCGGAUAACAUGUUGAACCGCAUGGUUCAACAGUGAAAGACGGUCUUGCUGUCACUUAUAGAUGGAUCCGCGUCGCAUUAGCUAGUUGGUAAGGUAACGGCUUACCAAGGCAACGAUGCGUAGCCGACCUGAGAGGGUGAUCGGCCACACUGGAACUGAGACACGGUCCAGACUCCUACGGGAGGCAGCAGUAGUGAAUCUGCCGCAAUGGGCGAAAGCCUGACGGAGCAACGCCGCGUGAGUGAAGAAGGUCUUCGGAUCGUAAAACUCUGUUAUUAGGGAAGAACAAAUGUGUAAGUAACUAUGCACGUCUUGACGGUACCUAAUCAGAAAGCCACGGCUAACUACGUG